Molecule: long non-coding RNA, 454 nt
Organism: Oncorhynchus keta (chum salmon)
Lineage: Eukaryota; Metazoa; Chordata; Actinopteri; Salmoniformes; Salmonidae
Exons: 2
Source: RefSeq, a predicted model, not a curated record
AGUCAGUUAUAUAGUCAGUUAACCCUUCUGUUCAAUCAGUUAUAUAGUCAGUUAACCCUUCUGUUCAGUCAGUUAUAUAGUCAGUUAACCCUUCUGUUCAGUCAGUUAACCCUUCUGUUCUGUCAGUUAUAUAGUCAGUUAACCCUUCUGUUCAGUCAGUUAUAUAGUCAGUUAACCCUUCUGUUCAGUCAGUUAUAUAGUCAGUUAACCCUUCUGUUCAUUAUAUAGUCAGUUAACCCUUCUGUUCUGUCAGUUGUUACUCAGGGGCCUUUUUAGUAUGUUCUUGUGUAUUGUUGGGUUGUUUGUUAAAAACAGCUUGUAAUGUUUAUUUCAGAUACUACUUAUCUUUAUUGAUAUAUUAUACUUCUAUUUAGUAUGUAACGAGUAAAUGUGAAUCAAGACCUGUAAGUGAUGUCUAUCGAUGUGUGACAAAAUAAAAACCCUGUGCAUUGUA